This is a long non-coding RNA of Thunnus maccoyii (southern bluefin tuna), 1392 nucleotides long. RefSeq lists it as uncharacterized. The record is from RefSeq and is a predicted model, not a curated record. NCBI's taxonomy places the organism in Eukaryota, Metazoa, Chordata, Actinopteri, Scombriformes, Scombridae. The transcript is spliced from 3 exons.
UGGCACUUUCCUGACGAUGCUAAAACGAUGUGUUUAUGACCUUUCCAGAAGAUGAAAUGUAUAGUUAACUUGACAAAUGAUAGCUACCGAUAGCUACAGCUAAAUAGACAAAUAAACACCUACAGGAAAUGAGAAUCAUUAACUAUAUAUGCAAAGAGGAAGACCUCACCCGCCUUAAAGGAUAUGGGUGGCGAUUUUCUAUAUUUUUCUUAUUGUCAAGAGGUUUUAAUAUGUAGCACAACAAGCUAGCGAAGCAUCGUAAGCGGGCAUCUGCCUUACGGAGAACGAAAUGUGAUCGCUGUUAUUAUUCUCUGGAGCCGUUUCUAAACUAACUAACGUGCUCAAACUCUUCCUGAUGAAGGAAAUGUCAAUCAGUGCAGUGGUGUGGGAAUAAGAUAUAUCAGGCUCUGGAUACAAGAGAUCAAUUCAUUAUUGGUUUGGCUCUGCACAUGAGAUUUGUGGACAAUAAGAAACGUAUAGAAAAUUGGCAGCUAUAUCACAUUGAUCGCUGGAUCAACACAUCCUGGCGACUGUAUUUUGACUGUUCCUUCUGUUUGUAUGUCAGUACAAACUCAUGUCAUAUAACAUGACACGAUGCAGCCUGUUGCACUAUUAUAUUAGAUUGACAGGUGAACAAUGGGAGCAUAAAUCUCACAGAAAUAAGUGCAUAGCAACAUAGAGACAAAAUGAAAUAAAAUAAAGUCUCUUGGAUUACUACUUAAUGAGGGUUCAGCCUCUCUUGCCCACAAAGUUUCCAUCCAUCCAUCCCUGCCCACCUCCUCCUCCUGUUUUCUCCUCCUCUCGCCUGAAUCCCCGCACGCCUGUUUGUCACUUAAACGAAAGCUCACAAACUGACAGACCGAUAUCUGAGUCUUUAAAAUGAAACUACCAGCAAAUUAAUUUUUCAUCCUUUCUUAUCAGUGACUGAUGGGCCGCCGGGUCCCUCCAAAAAAAAAAAAAAAACCCUCUGUGUCCCCGCGGGCAACUCCUGCAGCCUGGGAACCAAGGUUUUCAUCCUAAACGGUGGUAAAUGGCUCGCCGCACAAAUAAUGCAUAAACAGCUGUUUUGCCCAACAUUUUGAACUGGAUCUGCUGCUCGGACCAGGCCAUCUCACACUGGAAUUCAGGUGGUUUGGGCCAAUGAAACUCUGCCUUUGAAAAAUGUUGGUAGAAAGCAGAUGGUGGACUUCCUUUCUGCACGUCAGACCGCUAAGGAGCCUGCGAGUCAGAGCCCAGGGAAAAUGAAUCCAAGAAUAUAAAACCCAUCUUUGAAUCUGUCCCCAGAUUCUGGGAGCCUUUCAAGUACACCAUCUAGAUUCAUUUACUUCCCCUUUUAUGUUAGAAAUUUGGUUUCAUCAUGGCAAUUAGCGCUUUUGUGUCUCGACCAAUUAU